CUCAUUUCCAGCAGUGAAAGUUCUGGAGACAUUUGAACGAAGGGAGCUGCAUCCCCCAUCUGUGUGUGCCUGUGAUGCUGAAAGCUGUGCCACAGUGUUUCCAGUACCAGCAGGGUCAUCUGUGGUGGACAGGUUUCAGCAGGGCUUCCAGACUGAAACAGACCAGGAAGGACCUGGCCACCCACUUCCAAAAACAGUGGCCAUGAAAACCCUGUGAAUAGCAGCAGAGCACUGUCUGAUGGAGCACCAGAAGAAAAGAUUCCCUGCCUGAUGCCACUGCAGCCGAGUUCUCCUGCCCAGAGCGUCAGGCGUCUGCGUGGACACAGUUGCUCUGUUUAGGUGGCG
Molecule: long non-coding RNA, 345 nt
Filed under: Equus caballus (horse)
Lineage: Eukaryota; Metazoa; Chordata; Mammalia; Perissodactyla; Equidae
Description: lncRNA (ENSECAG00000043944.1)
Source: RNAcentral